Mytilus californianus (California mussel) is the source of this 460-nucleotide long non-coding RNA. RefSeq lists it as uncharacterized. The transcript has 2 exons. Lineage: Eukaryota; Metazoa; Mollusca; Bivalvia; Mytilida; Mytilidae. The record is from RefSeq and is a predicted model, not a curated record.
UAAAAAAAAAUAAAAUGCUUCGCUGGGGCGCAGCUUGAUACGACCGCAGAGGUCGAACCAUGAACAGUUGGGGCAAGUAUGGACACAACAUUCAAGCUUGAUACAGCUCUGAAUUUGGAUUGUUAUUAAAUAUUUGACACAGCAUAGGUUUCUGACACAGAAAGAAUGUGGUCUAAGAACUUGAAUUUUUUUAAUUUACCUAUUAUGGUCCAAUGUCCAAAAUCAAAAUACAUGGUUAGAUUCAGCAUAUCAAAGAACCCCAUAUAUUCAAUUUUUGUUAAAAUCAAACAAAGUUUAAUUUUGGACCCCAACUUGGACAAACUUGAAAACUGGGCCCAUAAUCAAAAAUCUAAACACAUGUUUAGAUUCAGCAUAUCAAAGAACCCCAAGAAUUCAAUUUUUGUUAAAAUCAAACUAAGUUUAAUUUUUGGACCCUUUGGACCUCAAUGAAGACCAAUUU